AGUGAGAUCAAAUGAACUGUAUGCCUAUUUGACAGGCUAAAGUCGUAUCACCUAAUCAAAAAUAACCUAAGGUCCACUAGCUAGGUAGAAAGGGAAGUCAGGAUCGAAUCCACAGGGAGACAGGCGUUCUUUCUACUAUUAAUUAAUUAAACUAAACUAUUGGGAACAAGAUUUGGUUGAUUGUUUGUAAACUAAGACUACGAACGAUAAUUAAAUAAGUAUGAAUCAAUAUAUUAAGGAAACCUAGGGCAUAGGUUCACCAGCAAUUAACAAUCCAGGACGAUGAACAAUCACGAUAAUCAACAAGGUAAUUAAUUAGACUAGCAUGCUCUCUCGAAUCGAUACUAGUCAUAGACUUAGAAUUAAUGAGCUCUCGCUACUUAUUAAUCCCAAUUCUACCUAUUGACACAAGCCUAAACAUCAAAUUGCAUCUCUCGAAUCUUAACUUGAUAUUGCAUAACUACGCAAUUAACCUGCGCAAAUCUAAUUGAAUAGUGGAAUAAACCAAUCAAUAAGAAUUAAUCACAAUGCCAACAAUCACACUUAUUCAAUAUCCCAUCAUAUUAAUUCAUGGAUCCCCAAACCUUAGAAAUUAAACUACUCAAGCAUGUUGAUAAUAAACAAAGCAAUUAGCAUAAUUGAAAACAUAAUUAAAGCAAAAGAAAUGAAUGAAAUAAAGAACAAUACCUAAUUGAAGAACAAUGGAAUAAUAAAGUUUGAACUUUUGAUUGGAAAUAAAACUAAGUGUUUGAGACAAUUUAGAGAGAAAACUAAGCUUAGGAAAAUAAACUAAGUGUUUGAUACUAGAAAAUAAAGUCCCCAUUAAAAAUAAAAGGGCUAGUAUUUAUAGUUUACCCAAAAUACAAGCCAAAAACCGGAAUUAAAUCUCGCGAAAAAGCAGAAGGGGUUGGCGUCGCCCGAUCGGGCGACGCUUCGCCCGAUCGGGCGAAGUGCUCGACAGUCGGCCCGAUCGGGCCAAAUUCCGCCCGAUCGGUAUAAUCCCCCGUAAAUUUAUAAAUUUUAUUAAUAUAUUUUAACGUAUAUUAUUUAUAUUUAAAUAAGAAUUUAUGAAUUUUAGUAAUAAAUAUAUAAUUAACGUAUAUUUAUUUUAUUUUAAUUACGUUCUAAAUAUUUAACGAUUUAUGAAAUCAAAAUAGUUUUGAAUUUUACUUUGAAAAUAAUUCGAAUUCAGAAAACAAUCCGAAUCGGUUUUUGAUUCAUACACUCAAACCCAAAUCCUAAUCCUAGCCCAAUUUUGGAAAAGCCCAAAUAGAUAAACCCAAAAUAGACUCACAAGUUUCACUCCUCUCAAACCCACAUACAAUUCACGUAAAAAUCCAAAGCAACCAAAACCCUUCUAUUUCACGUGAAAUACCAAACCUCCUCCCUCAAUUCUCCCUCACUGCUGCUCCUCCUUACCGCCGCUGUUCACAGCCGCCGCCACCACCCACCAGCGACCAUCCGCCCUUGCCGCCGCAACCACAGCCACAGCCCGAGUCUUGUCGCCGCCGUCCACCUUACCGCAGGCUCGCCGUCCAGCACGCCUCCGCGAGUCGUCCUCGCCACCCGCACAGCACCACCUUCGUCGGCUGACAGUCCGUCGCUGCCGCGCCGUACGCCGCCGCCCUACCUACUUCUCUCCUCUCCUUUUGGCGGAGAAUUCUUUGUGGGCGACUUUUGAAUUCGUUAAAGUGGCCUAUCAGUUUGUUUACACAAGUCUCUAAGGAUCAAUAAGCAUUGUCCAUCUGCAGGUUUGAAGAUGUUGCAUCAUUGGGAUCGGGAAUAGAGAGCUUGUAUUUAGUUUUGAUUUACUAAGUUGACUUGGGUUUGUUAAUUGGGACUUUAAACUUGUCGUACUAUUUAUAUUUCCUUAUUUUCGUUGGAUGAUUUUUGGGACUAAACCUGUAAUCGAUUAUUUAUAAACCUAAAGUUAGUUUUA
This is a long non-coding RNA of Spinacia oleracea (spinach), 1939 nucleotides long. RefSeq lists it as uncharacterized. The transcript has 5 exons. The record is from RefSeq and is a predicted model, not a curated record. Lineage: Eukaryota; Viridiplantae; Streptophyta; Magnoliopsida; Caryophyllales; Amaranthaceae.